This is a long non-coding RNA of Herpailurus yagouaroundi (jaguarundi), 1787 nucleotides long. RefSeq lists it as uncharacterized. The transcript is spliced from 2 exons. NCBI's taxonomy places the organism in Eukaryota, Metazoa, Chordata, Mammalia, Carnivora, Felidae. The record is from RefSeq and is a predicted model, not a curated record.
AAGCACCAAUCUGUUUUUCUUUUAUUCCUGUUUCCAUGGACCACAUUGCAGUAAUUAUUUGAGUAUGAGUCUUAGAUCUUUUGUUCGACCCCAGAGUUCCUGCAGGAAAACAAAUCUGUAUUACAGGGCCCUAAUGGAUCCAUAUUCCCAGCCCCUUGAGGUUGAGCAAUGCAGCGUGAAGGGAAGCUGAGCGCACCACUUCCAGAUGGAAGCCCUUAGGAGAUGGUGCUGACUCCCCUCAGCACGAAGCAAUACCUUGCACUCCUAAGUAAAGACAACACAGAACAGCACUCACCACUGACAUGUUGCAGGAGCAAGGAAGACAAACAAGCAAACAAAAUCCAAACUUUAUGUUGUUGAAAGCCUCUGAGAUUUUUAAGGAUUUUUGUUACUGCAACACAUUCUACUCUAUCUUAAAUAAUAACCAGAGUCUAUUUAUAUGUGAGAAUCAAAUGAUGCCAUUUUUUUACAUAACUUACUCUCAUUCCUACUUAUUAUUUAAUCCACAGAAAGAUCAAAGAUGUGAACAGUAAUAUACUGUGAUGAUCCUGCUGGCUCUGCCUGUAUCUUCAGCAGGAAUGUCUAGGGAAAGGAAUUUAGUCCAUCAGCAUUAAACUGUGAAUUUGGGUGAGAAAAAAAAAAAAAGAAUAGCUGAGACAGAGUGAAGAAAAACAUGAGAAAUGCAUUCAGUUUGGAAGAGGAUUCUAUCUGAAAAGAGUUAGUGCCUAAGGCCCGACAGACUCAUGUUGCUGUUACUUUAUUUUUUUCAGAAGAUAGGAAGAAGCAGAAAUGACUACAUCAUAUGCAGUCCAAUAAAUCUGAUCAUUUUUGGAGCAGAGGACUUAUUAGUUAUUGAGUCCCAACUGCACACUUUAGUUAGUGCUGUGGAGAUCUAAAAGGGAGGCCUGGGCAGGAAUUCCUUCUCUCCAUGUUCUUCCCUCUCAGGUUGGUCUUGAGGUCACUGAUUUCAGAUACCAUUAGGCAGGUUCAAUGUGUAUUCAAAUUUGUUUCCCCCAUGUUUUCAUGUAGAUGGUGUAAAAAAUAAUUUCUUAAAGAUAUUAAUUAGCUCAAGUGGAUUCAAACUAUGCACUAUAGGUGUUCUCAGGAGAAAGAAAAAGGAAGGUAAAUUGAGUAGUUACUUAUAUGUGUGUGUGUAUACAUUAUAUACUGAAGGCACACCCAACAGAUGCACAUAAUUACAAUAGUCCCAUUAUAAAAAUAUUCACCUUGUCUUCAUAUUAAAGAGAAUGAAAAAGAAAAGUAUCAGUGGCAUUUCCAAGUUUUCAUAUCAAGUCCCUAGUUUUGGAAAAUUUGAAAUCAAAGAUUUAAUAACUGGUCAAAUUCUCACAGUGAUUAAAAAUAUCAUAUACCUUACUUUUAAUUUAAUGAACUAGCUCAUAUCAACUCUUAUAUUCUAUGCUUUAUUUCUAUUUAUGAUACUAAAACUGAGACUUUAUGAUAUAUGUUCCUUGCUCUUUAUAAAAUUCAAUAUAUCCAAAUAUGUUUUUCGCAUAUAACUAAAACAUUUAUUACAAACAUCCUUUAAAUAGUAAGCCCUCGAUGAAUUUAAAUGCUGAUGGUCCAUCAACUGAUUCACAGAGAAUCUUGAAGGGCAAAAACUGAUGAAGGUGUUAUAUGGAGCAGUGCCAAUUGCAAAUCAAUCAGAAAUGCAAAUAAAAUAGCUCUCCUACUGCAAGUCAAUGUAAUUAGGUUUACCCUUAUUUGAUUUGCACAAAACUUUUCAGAAAUUUGCGUACUGAAUAAAUGACACGUAUGCAUAAAAUUAA